RNAcentral lists this transfer RNA (71 nucleotides) under Erythranthe guttata (spotted monkey flower). Its description in RNAcentral is "Mimulus guttatus (spotted monkey flower) tRNA". It matches the Rfam family "tRNA". From Rfam's summary of the family: Transfer RNA (tRNA) molecules are approximately 80 nucleotides in length. Their secondary structure includes four short double-helical elements and three loops (D, anti-codon, and T loops). Lineage: Eukaryota; Viridiplantae; Streptophyta; Magnoliopsida; Lamiales; Phrymaceae. The record is from Rfam by way of RNAcentral.
GGGGAUAUAGCUCAAAUGGUAGAGCGCUCGCUCUGCAUGCGAGAGGCAAGGGGUUCGAUCCCCCGCCUCCA